GAUCCUGGCUCAGGACGAACGCUGGCGGCGCGCCUAACACAUGCAAGUCGAACGGAGUUAUUAAGACAGAAGCCUUCGGGUGGAAGAUUUAGUAACUUAGUGGCGGACGGGUGAGUAACACGUGAGGAACCUGCCUUGCAGAGGGGGAUAACAUCUGGAAACGGAUGCUAAUACCGCAUGACACCAUUGGGGGGCAUCCCCUGAUGGUCAAAGAUUUAUCGCUGCAAGAUGGCCUCGCGGUCGA
RNAcentral lists this ribosomal RNA (244 nucleotides) under uncultured bacterium. RNAcentral describes it as "partial 16S ribosomal RNA". It matches the Rfam family "Bacterial small subunit ribosomal RNA", at positions 15 to 240 of the family's 1533-position model. The record is from RNAcentral.